UUUGUGCCGUGCGUUAGGCUAUAAAAGCCCAAACCGCGCGCCCUCUGCAUCAGUCCGUACGCCACCGACGCACCAACUAGAGGCACAUCCCAGAGGAGACGCCUCGCGGUCGCUGACGGGUUUGCCCGUCAGGCGGCCGCCCCGCUAGCUUGCAAUGCUGUGCUGCGGAGAUGAUGCAGCUGGCAGUUGCGCCUACGCCGCGCGCCGGUCGCGCCUCGCGAGCAGCCACGCCUUGCGGUCGCAAGGCAGCAGCGCCUCGUGUCACCGCGAAAACCAACCACGCGGGCGUGCACAGAGUUGAAGAGUUGAUGAUUUGGAAGAGUUCUCCGUCCGCCAUUUGCUGCGCUGAGCCGCACGUCCACGCGCCUCGGUAAACGCUAGGUGCAAUAUUUUUUGUUUAUUUUUUCAAGAAGUAAUAUGUUUUUAGUUUUUUUUCAUUCAGAUUCGGAACUAGGUGCUGUUUUUUUUGUUUAUUUGUUUUCAAGGAGAAAUGUUUUUAGUUUUUUUCAUUCGAGUCUGGCACUUACUGACAUAACACAUAACCAUACAUAAUAUCUUUAAUUUCUUUAUUAUAUCAGUAACAAUUCCUCUCUGUAAAAUGCCGUAUUCCGUGCUCCACACGGCAUUUUAUAGACCAUGACAUACUCGUAUGAGGCUACGAGAGACAAAGUGCUAAGCCACCACUUUGGCUUUCGUGCCCCCAUGUGAGAUAAGCAAUUUGUGUAGUAACAUUAUGAGACACUGAGAAAUCUAAAGUAGGUAUAAAUGGCGUCUGACAUCAGAAUAUUAUCAGUCAUCUCGUAGGUUUAAGACAAAUCAUAUUGCAGCAGCGACGAUGUACAUUUUGUAAAACGUGUUUCCAUUCCAUUAGACUGUAAGUUUUCUGAAUAAAACUGUUAGCUAUAAGUAAUUUGUAUGAGUAACAUUAUGGGUAGUAGCUUUAAAAUACAACGUAGGUAUAAA
Maniola jurtina (meadow brown) is the source of this 963-nucleotide long non-coding RNA. RefSeq lists it as uncharacterized. Lineage: Eukaryota; Metazoa; Arthropoda; Insecta; Lepidoptera; Nymphalidae. The record is from RefSeq and is a predicted model, not a curated record. The transcript is spliced from 4 exons.